This 200-nucleotide unclassified non-coding RNA is filed under the name soil metagenome. RNAcentral's name for it is "partial contains internal transcribed spacer 2 and large subunit ribosomal RNA". The record is from RNAcentral.
GUCAUUUCAACCCUCAAGCCCCACGGCUUGGUGUUGGGGACCGGCCCCGGCCACCCCCUAAAUGCAGUGGCGACCUCGCCGCAGCCUCCCCUGCGUAGUAGCACAACCUCGCACCGGAGAGCGGAGACGGUCACGCCGUAAAAACGCCCAACUUUCUUAGAGUUGACCUCGGAUCAGGUAGGAAUACCCGCUGAACUUAA